AAUAGACCCCGCCGGGGCCGCAAUGGGUUAGCAGCCCAGUGUGGCAGUAGCACAGGCUUAUUAAGCUAUGUGCUACACCCUACCAAGCUACUAAACGAUAUAAUGGAAAAAUACCCCUAGAGUCAGCGAGAGCAGGGGCGGAAGAUGACUCACCUAUGAUGGACACAGGUAAUGACCCUGGAACGAAUUUGACUAUGAGUAAGGAGGGCAUGUCGAUGGAAGCCGUUAGUUCAAAUUUAACUGAGAAGAAGCUGCAGGUGUGUGUGUGUGGCUGGCAGAAGGUUACUACUAUGAGGGGCCUAAGAAUCCAUCAAGGUAGAAUGAAGUGCUUGGUAGAGGGAACACAGGGAACCCGCAUUGAUAGCUACUUCUUAAGAAGUGUAUUGAGUCAGUCGGUUGAAGUCCAGCGACAGGAAGUAACCCACAGUUCGCAGGACAUCAGCACCCCUGAUGUUGUGGUAGAGUCAAGCGCUGAGGCCGAAAGGGAGGCCAGCCAACCAAGGAGGGAAAAGAUGAGCGGCCAUAAGCCUGGGGUUAGGUGGCCAGGCGCAGCAGAAGGUAGGACUUGGGAAGUUGUUGAUAGCGAUCUGGUUAGCAUUCUGGGACGGCUUAAAGGGACGGCUGAAAGCAAAUUAGAGAAAAUGGGGGACAUUAUCUACAGUUACGGUCAAGAAAGAUUUGGGAUUGUUGAGAAAAGGACGAAACGGCAACAUGAGGUAGUUAAGUCUAGGCGCCAGCAAGAGAUAGAUAGACUCAUCCAGGAGAGGAGGCAGCUUAAGAAGCAGUGGAGAAAAGCUACAGAUAACGAGAAGGAAGGUAUUGAUUGUCUACAGGCAGCUGUGAGGGAGCGGUUGGCAGUGCUAAGAAGAGCAGAAAAUUUUAGGAAAAAUAGGAAGAAGAAAUCGCGAGCUAGAGUAGCAUUUUAUAAAGAUCCAUUUAAAUUUGUUAAGUCAUUAUUUGAUAGGCAGAAGAGUGGUUGUCUUAUGGAACCUAAGCAGAAGCUUGAGGAGUACUUGGAGGGAGUGCACAAAGAUAGGGAGAGGUUCAGAGAGAUGGUGCUUCCAGCAGAU
This 1070-nucleotide long non-coding RNA is filed under the name Gadus morhua (Atlantic cod). Its description in RNAcentral is "lncRNA (ENSGMOG00000032399.1)". Lineage: Eukaryota; Metazoa; Chordata; Actinopteri; Gadiformes; Gadidae. The record is from RNAcentral.